AGUUUGAUCCUGGCUCAGGAUGAACGCUAGCGGCAGGCUUAACACAUGCAAGUCGAGGGGCAGCGCGGGUAGCAAUACCUGGCGGCGACCGGCGAAAGGGUGAGUAACGCGUGAGCAACAUGCCCGUGGUUGGGGGAUAGUCGAUGGAAACGUCGCGUAAUACCCCGUAACACAUUUUUCCGCAUGGGGAGAUGUUGAAAGAUACUAUUGACCACGGAUUGGCUCGCGUGCCAUUAGGUAGACGGCGGGGUAACGGCCCACCGUGCCGACGAUGGCUAGGGGUUCUGAGAGGAAGGUCCCCCACAUUGGAACUGAGACACGGUCCAGACUCCUACGGGAGGCAGCAGUGAGGAAUAUUGGACAAUGGCCGGAAGGCUGAUCCAGCCAUGCCGCGUGCGGGAGGACGGCCCUAUGGGUUGUAAACCGCUUUUGCGAGGGAGCAAUAAGCGCCACGUGUGGCGCGAUGAGAGUACCUUACGAAUAAGCAUCGGCUAACUCCGUGCC
Molecule: ribosomal RNA, 504 nt
Filed under: uncultured organism
Description: SSU rRNA
Rfam family: Bacterial small subunit ribosomal RNA
Source: RNAcentral